UACGGAGGGUGCAAACGUUGCUCGGAAUCAUUGGGCGUAAAGCGCACGUAGGCGGCUCGUUAAGUCGGAUGUGAAAGCCCAAGGCUCAACCUUGGAAGUGCAUUCGAAACUGGCGAGCUUGAAUAUGGACGAGGGUCGCGGAAUUCCCGGUGUAGAGGUGAAAUUCGUAGAUAUCGGGAGGAACACCAGUGGCGAAGGCGGCGACCUGGGCCAAUAUUGACGCUAAGGUGCGAAAGCGUGGGGAGCAAACAGGAUUAGAUACCCUGGUAGUCCACGCCGUAAACGAUGGAUGCUAGAUGUUGUGGGUAUUGACCCCUACAGCGUCGCAGCUAACGCAGUAAGCAUCCCGCCUGGGGAGUACGGCCGCAAGGCUAAA
This 376-nucleotide ribosomal RNA is filed under the name uncultured bacterium. RNAcentral's name for it is "bacterial SSU rRNA". It matches the Rfam family "Bacterial small subunit ribosomal RNA", at positions 524 to 898 of the family's 1533-position model. The record is from RNAcentral.